Molecule: ribosomal RNA, 2301 nt
Filed under: Campylobacter jejuni
Lineage: Bacteria; Pseudomonadati; Campylobacterota; Epsilonproteobacteria; Campylobacterales; Campylobacteraceae
Description: bacterial LSU rRNA
Rfam family: Bacterial large subunit ribosomal RNA
Source: RNAcentral
AGGUAAGCUACUAAGAGCGAAUGGUGGAUGCCUUGACUGGUAAAGGCGAUGAAGGACGUACUAGACUGCGAUAAGCUACGGGGAGCUGUCAAGAAGCUUUGAUCCGUAGAUUUCCGAAUGGGGCAACCCAAUGUAUAGAGAUAUACAUUACCUAUAUAGGAGCGAACGAGGGGAAUUGAAACAUCUUAGUACCCUCAGGAAAAGAAAUCAAUAGAGAUUGCGUCAGUAGCGGCGAGCGAAAGCGCAAGAGGGCAAACCCAGUGCUUGCACUGGGGGUUGUAGGACUGCAAUGUGCAAGAGCUGAGUUUAGCAGAACAUUCUGGAAAGUAUAGCCAUAGAGGGUGAUAGUCCCGUAUGCGAAAAACAAAGCUUAGCUAGCAGUAUCCUGAGUAGGGCGGGACACGAGGAAUCCUGUCUGAAUCCGGGUCGACCACGAUCCAACCCUAAAUACUAAUACCAGAUCGAUAGUGCACAAGUACCGUGAGGGAAAGGUGAAAAGAACUGAGGUGAUCAGAGUGAAAUAGAACCUGAAACCAUUUGCUUACAAUCAUUCAGAGCACUAUGUAGCAAUACAGUGUGAUGGACUGCCUUUUGCAUAAUGAGCCUGCGAGUUGUGGUGUCUGGCAAGGUUAAGCAAACGCGAAGCCGUAGCGAAAGCGAGUCUGAAUAGGGCGCUUAGUCAGAUGCUGCAGACCCGAAACGAAGUGAUCUAUCCAUGAGCAAGUUGAAGCUAGUGUAAGAACUAGUGGAGGACUGAACCCAUAGGCGUUGAAAAGCCCCGGGAUGACUUGUGGAUAGGGGUGAAAGGCCAAUCAAACUUCGUGAUAGCUGGUUCUCUCCGAAAUAUAUUUAGGUAUAGCGUUGUGUCGUAAUAUAAGGGGGUAGAGCACUGAAUGGGCUAGGGCAUACACCAAUGUACCAAACCCUAUCAAACUCCGAAUACCUUAUAUGUAAUCACAGCAGUCAGGCGGCGAGUGAUAAAAUCCGUCGUCAAGAGGGAAACAACCCAGACUACCAGCUAAGGUCCCUAAGUCUUACUUAAGUGGAAAACGAUGUGAAGUUACUUAAACAACCAGGAGGUUGGCUUAGAAGCAGCCAUCCUUUAAAGAAAGCGUAAUAGCUCACUGGUCUAGUGAUUUUGCGCGGAAAAUAUAACGGGGCUAAAGUAAGUACCGAAGCUGUAGACUUAGUUUACUAAGUGGUAGGAGAGCGUUCUAUUUGCGUCGAAGGUAUACCGGUAAGGAGUGCUGGAGCGAAUAGAAGUGAGCAUGCAGGCAUGAGUAGCGAUAAUUAAUGUGAGAAUCAUUAACGCCGUAAACCCAAGGUUUCCUACGCGAUGCUCGUCAUCGUAGGGUUAGUCGGGUCCUAAGUCGAGUCCGAAAGGGGUAGACGAUGGCAAAUUGGUUAAUAUUCCAAUACCAACAUUAGUGUGCGAUGGAAGGACGCUUAGGGCUAAGGGGGCUAGCGGAUGGAAGUGCUAGUCUAAGGUCGUAGGAGGUUAUACAGGCAAAUCCGUAUAACAAUACUCCGAGAACUGAAAGGCUUUUUGAAGUCUUCGGAUGGAUAGAAGAACCCCUGAUGCCGUCGAGCCAAGAAAAGUUUCUAAGUUUAGCUAAUGUUGCCCGUACCGUAAACCGACACAGGUGGGUGGGAUGAGUAUUCUAAGGCGCGUGGAAGAACUCUCUUUAAGGAACUCUGCAAAAUAGCACCGUAUCUUCGGUAUAAGGUGUGGUUAGCUUUGUAUUAGGAUUUACUCCGAAAGCAAGGAAACUUACAACAAAGAGUCCCUCCCGACUGUUUACCAAAAACACAGCACUCUGCUAACUCGUAAGAGGAUGUAUAGGGUGUGACGCCUGCCCGGUGCUCGAAGGUUAAUUGAUGGGGUUAGCAUUAGCGAAGCUCUUGAUCGAAGCCCGAGUAAACGGCGGCCGUAACUAUAACGGUCCUAAGGUAGCGAAAUUCCUUGUCGGUUAAAUACCGACCUGCAUGAAUGGCGUAACGAGAUGGGAGCUGUCUCAAAGAGGGAUCCAGUGAAAUUGUAGUGGAGGUGAAAAUUCCUCCUACCCGCGGCAAGACGGAAAGACCCCGUGGACCUUUACUACAGCUUGACACUGCUACUUGGAUAAGAAUGUGCAGGAUAGGUGGGAGGCUUUGAGUAUAUGACGCCAGUUGUAUAUGAGCCAUUGUUGAGAUACCACUCUUUCUUAUUUGGGUAGCUAACCAGCUUGAGUUAUCCUCAAGUGGGACAAUGUCUGGUGGGUAGUUUGACUGGGGCGGUCGCCUCCCAAAUAAUAACGGAGG